GAUUUUCUCUUGGAGGAGGCCAAUGGGCUUUCCCCUGAUGACAAACUCACCCUCUUCUGUGAGGUGGGUGUGGUUCAAGAUUCCGUCAAUAUUUCUGGCCAGAAUACCAUGAACAUGGUAAAGGUUCCUGAGUGCCGACUGGCAGAUGAGUUAGGAGAGCUGUGGGAGAAUUCUGGUUCACAGACUGCUGCUUGUGUGUGGCUGGCCAAGAAUUCCAGGCUCACAAGGCUAUCUUAGCAGCUCGUUCUCCUGUUUUAAGUGCCGUGUUUGAACAUGAAAUGGAGGAAAGUAAAAAGAAUCGAGUUGAAAUGAAUGAUGUGGAGCCUGAAGUUUUUAAGGAAAUGAUGUGCUUCAUUUACACUGGGAUGGCACCAAAUCUCGACAGAAUGGCUGAUGAUUUGGUGGCAGCUGCUGACAAGUAUGCCCUGGAGCAUUUGAAUGAAGGUCAUGUGCGAGGAUGCCCUCUGCAGUAACCUGUGGAGAACGCUGCAAAAAAUUUCAUCCUGGCUCACCUCCACAGUGCUGAUCAGCUGAAAACUCAAGCAGUGGAUUUCAUCAACUAUCAUGCUUCGGAUGUCUUGGAGACCUGUGGGUUUGUCAAUGGUGGUGUCACAUCAAUGGUGGUGUCACAUCCGCACUUGGUGGCUGAAGCACACUGCGCUCUGGCUUCAGCACAGUGCCCUUUCCUGGGGUCCCCACGUAAAUGCCUGAAGCAAUCCUAAGAUCCUGCCAGUUGUCAGACUUCAUUUAUUUUCCAGAAGCAGCAGCCACUGUUGCUGCCACUGACCACCAGGUAGACAGCGCAAUCUGU
Molecule: RNA transcript, 811 nt
Organism: Nannospalax galili (Upper Galilee mountains blind mole rat)
Lineage: Eukaryota; Metazoa; Chordata; Mammalia; Rodentia; Spalacidae
Gene name: speckle-type POZ protein pseudogene
Exons: 1
Source: RefSeq, a predicted model, not a curated record